Molecule: ribosomal RNA, 484 nt
Filed under: uncultured bacterium
Lineage: Bacteria
Description: partial 16S ribosomal RNA
Rfam family: Bacterial small subunit ribosomal RNA
Source: RNAcentral
AUUGAACGCUGGCGGCAGGCCUAACACAUGCAAGUCGAGCGGACGGACGGGGCUUUUUCCUGGCUUACGCGGCCGACGGGUGAGUAAGGCAUAGGAAGAUACCCGGUCUAGGGGGCUGACGUCCGGUCACGGGCGCUAAUCCCGUACCCGUCAUGAGAGUGAAAGUCGUGGUUCUUUGGUGCUCACGCUAUCUGAUGAGCCUAGUCCGGAUUAGCUAGUUGGUGAGGUAAGGGCCUACCAAGGCGACGAUCCGUAACUGGCCUGAGAGGAUGAUCAGUCACACUGGAACUGAGACACGGUCCAGACUCCUACGGGAGGCAGCAGUGGGGAAUAUUGCGCAAUGGGCGAAAGCCUGACGCAGCCAUGCCGCGUGUGUGAAGAAGGUCUUCGGAUUGUAAAGCACUUUAAGUUGGGAGGAAGGGAAGUAAGUGAAUACCUUGCUGUCUUGACGUUACCAACAGAAUAAGCACCGGCUAACUACGUG